GAUGAGAACGUAGCGAAAUGCGAUAAGUAAUGUGAAUUGCAGAAUUCAGUGAAUCAUCGAAUCUUUGAACGCACAUUGCGCCCGCCAGUAUUCUGGCGGGCAUGCCUGUUCGAGCGUCAUUUCAACCAUCAAGCCCCCGGCUUGUGUUGGGGACCUGCGGCUGCCGCAGGCCCUGAAAACCAGUGGCGGGCUCGCUAGUCACUCCGAGCGUAGUAAUACAUCUCGCUCAGGGCGUGCUGUGGGUUCCGGCCGUUAAAAAGCCUUAUUUACCCAAGGUUGACCUCGGAUCAGGUAGGAAGACCCGCUGAACUUAAGCAUAUCAAUAAGCGGAGGA
RNAcentral lists this unclassified non-coding RNA (334 nucleotides) under soil metagenome. RNAcentral's name for it is "partial contains 5.8S ribosomal RNA, internal transcribed spacer 2, and large subunit ribosomal RNA". The stretch from base 5 to 119 matches the Rfam family "5.8S ribosomal RNA", at positions 40 to 154 of the family's 154-position model. The record is from RNAcentral.